UACAUGAUAUGACUUAGUGGCGGACGGGUGAGUAACACGUAGGUAACCAACCCUAAAGCGGGGGACAACCCAGGGAAACUUGGGCUAAUACCGCAUAAGACCACGGUCUGGGAGGAUUGUGGUAAAAGUAGCAAUACACUUUAGGCUGGGCCUGCGGCCUAUCAGGUAGUUGGUAAGGUAAUGGCUUACCAAGCCUAAGACGGGUAGCCGGACUGAGAGGUUGAACGGCCACACUGGAACUGAGAUACGGUCCAG
RNAcentral lists this ribosomal RNA (255 nucleotides) under uncultured bacterium. RNAcentral's name for it is "partial 16S ribosomal RNA". It matches the Rfam family "Bacterial small subunit ribosomal RNA", at positions 79 to 334 of the family's 1533-position model. The record is from RNAcentral.